UACAGAGACUGCAAGCGUUAUUCGGAUUCACUGGGCGUAAAGGGUGCGCAGGCGGUCGGGUGUGUCAGAUGUGAAAUCCCGAGGCUCAACCUCGGAACUGCGUCUGAAACUACUCGACUAGAGUACUGGAGGGGGUAACGGAAUUCACGGUGUAGCAGUGAAAUGCGUAGAUAUCGUGAGGAACACCAGAGGCGAAGGCGGUUACCUGGACAGUUACUGACGCUCAGGCACGAAAGCAUGGGGAGCAAAAGGG
This 253-nucleotide ribosomal RNA is filed under the name uncultured bacterium. Its description in RNAcentral is "partial 16S ribosomal RNA". It matches the Rfam family "Bacterial small subunit ribosomal RNA", at positions 524 to 776 of the family's 1533-position model. The record is from RNAcentral.